RNAcentral lists this long non-coding RNA (1173 nucleotides) under Anser brachyrhynchus (Pink-footed goose). Its description in RNAcentral is "lncRNA (ENSABRG00000002922.1)". The record is from RNAcentral. Lineage: Eukaryota; Metazoa; Chordata; Aves; Anseriformes; Anatidae.
AUGAAGUAACACUUCCCUAUCCAUUAACCCUUAGAGAGGCCUCCACUCCCCUAAGGAUUUAGCUGCAGUCUGAGGUGAGAAGGACAGACCUCUGCCCCCAGAAUGGCAACCUCCGUGUCCCUUAGAACAGGAGCAAUGUUGAGGAACCUGUCAAGACUUGAUAUGUACAUGGAGGGCAAAAGUUAAAUAAAGACGUUUACAUAAACAGGAAAAAAGGUUCUUCCAUCCACACAGUAGUCAUUUAUUUGUAUAUGCUGACAGGAUAAAGCUGCUAAACCACUGUUUUUGCUUCAGCCAGGGAAUUUUUUAUAACAUACCUUUUGUUUUUUGGCUUCCCAGCCCUUAGUCAUGCUUCCACUGGCCUUUUGGACAGGCCUGGAACAUCCUCAUCUCCUCUCAGUCUUGAGCUUGGCUCAGCCUGACUUCAGAUCCUGACUCCCAGCCAGGGAUAGCUCAGCUUUCACAGCUGGACAUGGCUUCGUGCACCAGUGCCCACACCGCUGGCUGUGCUUUUCCUGUCAGAGCAUAAGCAUUUUGUGGUGAAUUCACAGAAAUUUAUUUUUUAAGUGAUGCAGGACUACCUUGUUUGUAGGAGCUUCCUGCUCUGGAGAUCUCACAACCUGUCUUCUGGAAUUUCAUAUAAACCAGCUAAGCUGUAAAACAUGCAAUUUUUUUCCCUGUGGUUGAUCUUCCCAAGCAGCCUCCCACUUAGAGAGUAUGUCCCAGCCCUCUCAGAUGCCUUGGGAGAGGAUCUCUUAAAGCUGGUGGAGCUGCAUCAUCUCUGCAGGACUCGGGAAGACGGCAGCCCUGCAGCUGAUCCAGCCCAGCCUGCAUACAGCUGGCCUCCAGGUUGAGCAAGGCCAGGUGGGAGCAUUGCCGUAGCAGAGCUCUGCCUGUUGUACCAUGUCCUCUCUGUUGCACUGCUGGUUGGGUGCAUCUGCCUGUGCCAUGGGUCUUUGUUCUAAGAUGCUCUAAGAUUAUUUCCUGACCAAAUUUUGUGUAUCCUUCAGGGGGCAGUUGUGCAAGGGCACUUGAGCAGAUCCAUCGGCAGUUGUGUGCAGUUUUACACCCAGGUAUAGGGUAACAUUUCUACCCUUUCCCACAGAUGUGUUGGCUAGACAAGGUUUAAAGCAGCAGACAUGGAUUAGGGGUUCUUCCAUGUAAAAGUUUUGG